AUUGAACGCUGGCGGCAGGCCUAACACAUGCAAGUCGAGCGGAUGAAGGGAGCUUGCUCCUGGAUUCAGCGGCGGACGGGUGAGUAAUGCCUAGGAAUCUGCCUGGUAGUGGGGGAUAACGUCCGGAAACGGGCGCUAAUACCGCAUACGUCCUGAGGGAGAAAGUGGGGGAUCUUCGGACCUCACGCUAUCAGAUGAGCCUAGGUCGGAUUAGCUAGUUGGUGGGGUAAAGGCCUACCAAGGCGACGAUCCGUAACUGGUCUGAGAGGAUGAUCAGUCACACUGGAACUGAGAAACGGUCCAGACUCCUACGGGAGGCAGCAGUGGGGAAUAUUGGACAAUGGGCGAAAGCCUGAUCCAGCCAUGCCGCGUGUGUGAAGAAGGUCUUCGGAUUGUAAAGCACAGAAAGUUGGGAGGAAGGGCAGUAAGUUAAUACCUUGCUGUUUUGACGGUACCAACAGGAUAAGCACCGGCUAACUUCGUG
RNAcentral lists this ribosomal RNA (484 nucleotides) under uncultured bacterium. Its description in RNAcentral is "partial 16S ribosomal RNA". It matches the Rfam family "Bacterial small subunit ribosomal RNA", at positions 30 to 507 of the family's 1533-position model. The record is from RNAcentral.